This 787-nucleotide long non-coding RNA is filed under the name Junco hyemalis (dark-eyed junco). RNAcentral's name for it is "lncRNA (ENSJHYG00000011454.1)". Lineage: Eukaryota; Metazoa; Chordata; Aves; Passeriformes; Passerellidae. The record is from RNAcentral.
AUGAGAGUGUAAAAAUACAGCACACAGUGCUAGUCACAAGCAGUCAGAAGCCCUUACUGGAUGCCCAAGGAGGCUGAGGCUGCCUUUACCUGCUGUAAACAUUCCAGGCACAGCUGCCACGGGACAUUUGGUCCCCUGGGUGUCUCCUGAGCAGUCACGUUGAAGUUGCUCCAUUUUGCUUAAACUGAGAAAUAUUAGGCCAGAGAGAGAAGCUGAACCUGUGGCUGAUGGCUUUGUUUGACACUCUUGUGUGAGAAUCCAGAUCCUCCUUCCUUCAGGGAGUAGGCAGCUUAGCAUGAAUUUGCACAUCUGCAUAGCAAAGGCUGCUCUAGCCUGCUGUCAGCCGAGCCAGCCUCAGAGCUGAAAACAUUGUAGCCUCCCUUGUUUGGCAUUGCUGGUGAGCUAAUUAGCCUUGCAGAUAAGCCUAACUAGCUGGGACCAGCUACACUCUGCUAGAGAUCUAUGGCUUUCAGGAACUCCUGUCUUUACAUACCUGGUAAUUACAGCUGUGGAAGCACCAGCUGGGUACAGCUCUUCGCCCUCUUCUACUGCAGACUGAACUCAUGGCCCUCAUCCCUUGAGGAGAAACACCACCAUUUUUGGCACUUUGAACCCUUUCAGCAUUUUGAGACCUGGGUACUAUCUGUCAGCCAGUCUUCAAGUGUGGAAAGCAGUCUGAAUUCAGAUGGUCAGCCCAUCUUCAAAAAAAUUAUGACCAACCCCAAAGGCAACUAGUUGUAUCUGUCAAUGACCUCAAACAUAACAAUAAAAGGAGAAUAAGAUAACA